GCCACAUGAUGUUUGCAUUCGGAGACACGAGCGCUCUGCGCGUUGAUGACCCGAAUCUAUCACCCUGGACUGAUGGCU
This is a small nucleolar RNA of Ochotona princeps (American pika), 78 nucleotides long. Its record names the gene SNORD83. It matches the Rfam family "Small nucleolar RNA SNORD83". From Rfam's summary of the family: U83 (SNORD83) and U84 (SNORD84) are members of the C/D class of snoRNA which contain the C (UGAUGA) and D (CUGA) box motifs. NCBI's taxonomy places the organism in Eukaryota, Metazoa, Chordata, Mammalia, Lagomorpha, Ochotonidae. The record is from Ensembl.